RNAcentral lists this ribosomal RNA (245 nucleotides) under uncultured Syntrophobacter sp. RNAcentral describes it as "partial 16S ribosomal RNA". It matches the Rfam family "Bacterial small subunit ribosomal RNA", at positions 524 to 768 of the family's 1533-position model. The record is from RNAcentral. Lineage: Bacteria; Pseudomonadati; Thermodesulfobacteriota; Syntrophobacteria; Syntrophobacterales; Syntrophobacteraceae.
UACGGAGGGUGCAAGCGUUAUUCGGAAUUACUGGGCGUAAAGCGCGUGCAGGCGGCCACACAAGUCUGAUGUGAAAGCCCGGGGCUUAACCUCGGAAGGGCAUUGGAAACUGUAUGGCUUGAGUACUGGAGAGGAAGGGGGAAUUCCCGGUGUAGAGGUGAAAUUCGUAGAGAUCGGGAGGAAUAUCGGUGGCGAAGGCGCCUUUCUGGACAGUUACUGACGCUGAGACGCGAAAGCGUGGGGAG